Non-coding RNA from Paramuricea clavata, 693 nucleotides. NCBI's taxonomy places the organism in Eukaryota, Metazoa, Cnidaria, Anthozoa, Malacalcyonacea, Plexauridae. The record is from the annotation of a GenBank genome assembly.
CUGUAUUGCGUAGACAUAUACGCAAACGCAUACAUAAAACGCCAGAUGAAGACAAAACCCCUGGCAAAGGUAAUUAUCACCAUUUCUCAGUUUAUUGGUGAAAUAUAUACCUGCGCAAGAAUCCUGCGGUUGAAAACCAAAUCUCAGGCAGCAAAUGAUAUUUCAUAUUUGACUUACAUGCGCAAAAUUUUAAGUGGCAUCCUUUUGUUUGGUUUUAUCAUGGAUGCAUAGCAAAAUUAAGUUAAUUUUUCAAUUUGAUACUUAAAUUAAACAUCAAGUCAAGUUAAUCAACGAAGAAUGUAGGCCUACUAGAAUUUCUCGUUCUGUCAACCUAGGAAAUAAUCGAAUUACUUGAAUCCAAUAAUCCAAUUCAAGUAUAAUCAUGGAAUGGACCCCCAUUAUUGUUGUCUAUCAUCAUGUUUCAGUUUGGUAAACCAGUAAGUAUUGUCGUGCCAGCAUGUCUAAGAAGCCACUGCAGAUUGAAUCUCUUUUGCGUCAAUUGUCUCAGCUGGAGAACUACAGGUUACAGGUUAGGAAUGCAACUCUGACCAUAACCUGGAAUCCUUAUUCAACUAACGCACCAAAACUUGACCACCAGCCUGAAAUUUAAAUUUAAAAUCUGCAAUUUAGACUCCGAUUAGCAAAGACACUUGGCGAAGAUGGGGAUCUGAAGUACUAUGUACCAGUACCGAC